GCCUGGGUAGCUCAGUCGGUUAAGCGUCUGACUUCAGCUCAGGUCAUGAUCUCACAGAUCAUGGGUUCAAGCCCCGUGUCGGGCU
This 85-nucleotide transfer RNA is filed under the name Felis catus (domestic cat). It matches the Rfam family "tRNA". From Rfam's summary of the family: Transfer RNA (tRNA) molecules are approximately 80 nucleotides in length. Their secondary structure includes four short double-helical elements and three loops (D, anti-codon, and T loops). Further hydrogen bonds mediate the characteristic L-shaped molecular structure. tRNAs have two regions of fundamental functional importance: the anti-codon, which is responsible for specific mRNA codon recognition, and the 3' end, to which the tRNAs corresponding amino acid is attached (by aminoacyl-tRNA synthetases). tRNAs cope with the degeneracy of the genetic code in two manners: having more than one tRNA (with a specific anti-codon) for a particular amino acid; and 'wobble' base-pairing, i.e. permitting non-standard base-pairing at the 3rd anti-codon position. The record is from Rfam by way of RNAcentral. Lineage: Eukaryota; Metazoa; Chordata; Mammalia; Carnivora; Felidae.